This 592-nucleotide long non-coding RNA is filed under the name Mytilus galloprovincialis (Mediterranean mussel). The record is from RNAcentral. Lineage: Eukaryota; Metazoa; Mollusca; Bivalvia; Mytilida; Mytilidae.
UCUUUAAGUACUUUCCACUCAAAAUUAUUUUUAAACAUAAUAGCUACACCUCUUGAAUUUGAAGAAAAGGAUGAAAAGUAGCAUUCAUAUCCCCAUAACGUUCUUAUACUAUUUUCUUUAUCCACUGUGAAAUGAGUGUCUUGAAGACAGUAAAUGUUAUGGUUUCCAGAUUUUAGAAAACUAAAUACAUCCCUCCUUUUAGAUAAAUCACCCAGACCCUGACAGUUAACAGACAGUAUCUUUAAAGAGCCCAUAAUGGUUUGAAAUAUGUGUACAUCAUCAUUUCAUAUAGGCAUGCAUUUUUACAUAUGAUUAUCCAUAUUAUACAUUCACAUGAGACACAAAGACAUAUACAGAAAGAUUUGCUCAAAACAUCUAGAUAUGGUGGUAUAAAAAUUCUCGACAUACAUGUAUUACCAAGCUUCGUACAGGGACCAACAGUGUAAUUCAAUACUUUACAGACAUUCAAUUCAUAGAAAAAAUAUAAUUAACAGACAAAAAAAGUGUUAAAAAAAAUAAAUAUUUCAAUAUGUUUUGCCACAUUGUAGUUGAGAUUUGUCAGUUUUUGCAGUUUGCCUUAUAUGACACCAAC